This is a non-coding RNA of Triticum aestivum (bread wheat), 115 nucleotides long. The record is from Rfam. Lineage: Eukaryota; Viridiplantae; Streptophyta; Magnoliopsida; Poales; Poaceae.
GACGUACUCCCUCCGUUCGGAAUUACUUGUCAUUAAAAUGAAUGUAUCUAGAACUAAAAUAUAUCUAGAUACAUCCAUUUCAAUGCCAAGUAUUUCUGAAUGGAGGGAGUAGAAG